This 375-nucleotide long non-coding RNA is filed under the name Salmo salar (Atlantic salmon). Its description in RNAcentral is "lncRNA (ENSSSAG00000109967.1)". Lineage: Eukaryota; Metazoa; Chordata; Actinopteri; Salmoniformes; Salmonidae. The record is from RNAcentral.
AAGCAGGUGGCGGUAUUGGAAGCCAGGGAGAGGGUCCACACGCUGGGCAACAUGACCCCAACAGAUACCUACCAGAUACGCAUCACAGCUGUCAAUCACAGAACCCUCGGACACCCCUCCCCCCCAGAAACACCAGCGGACCCUCCCUUCAGUGCGUAUCCUGCUGUGAUUGGAGCUGCCAUUGGAGGGAUGCUCAUCACUACCAUAGCAACCAUUCUGCUUUUCAUGUACAUAAUCCGCAACCGCAACAACAACCCCCGACUCCAUGACAUGCUGUUUGGAAUGCAGCACAGCCGGUCCAGGGAGAACAUCAACCUGCCUGAUGAUGAGGUGAUGGGAGGAGUUGACAGAGAGGGAGGAGCUACAGAACAUUGC